Anolis carolinensis (green anole) is the source of this 1947-nucleotide long non-coding RNA. RefSeq lists it as uncharacterized. The record is from RefSeq and is a predicted model, not a curated record. The transcript has 2 exons. NCBI's taxonomy places the organism in Eukaryota, Metazoa, Chordata, Lepidosauria, Squamata, Anolidae.
UAACACAUUUGGAAGGCACCAGGUUGCAGAAGGCUGAUCUGCACUGCAGCUAUUGCAUGUUGCUUCGUGAAUCAGAGUCUGUGGUUGUUCAGUAGCUUCAGUUAUGAUUUAAAGUUUAAAAGCAGCCCGUGGGAAAUUACUGUUGUAUACACACACCUGGAUUGUAGUGGCAGCUGCAGGUGAUUUUGAUAUUAGUGGUGCACUCAGUCCCCUGGGAGUUUUAAUCUGAAUUUUAAACAAGCUCUUCUAAGUGCUAUAUCUAUUUUGGGAAUAGGAUUUGAAUAACUCCUCUGAAGUUCUGACUAAAAACUGGCGUGGGAUUUCACUGGCUUGCUGAAAUGCUAGCCACCAUAUUCCAAUGAUUAUUCCACACACUAUUUUUAACCAUUUAAGAACACUGCAAUUGUUUGCUUUAAGUUGUUUUGAUGUUGUUCAUAGUUUAAUUCAUUAAAAAGUUGAACUGUAUUUUUAAACUAUGUUUUAUUAAAGAUGGUGUAAUAAUAAUACACUUUAUUUAUAUUCCACCCUUCUCCUCAAAGGAACUCAGAGCAGAUUACAGUACUGUAUAUAUAAACAGAUAUAGACAAACAUUCAAUGCCUUGCUACAAAACAAUGAGACAUACAUACACAAAGGCAAAGGCUUCUUUCAUUUCCAGCUUCUGGAGGCGAUACUCAUCUCAGGCUCUUGGGGGAGGUGCUCCUCUCCACUUCCAAGCCCAGGAGCCUGCAUUGUCACCUUCUGGUUGUGUGGCUGGCAAGACUGCUUGCGGCGUCUUUUCCCUUUUACCUCCGAAGUGGUACCUAUUAUCUAUUCACAUUUGCAUGUUUUCGAACUGUUAGAUUGGCGGGAGCUAGGGUUGACAGCAGGAGCUCACCCCGUGUUAUGGUUGAGCCUUCUGGCUCCGAUACUAGGAGACGGGGUCGUAAGAUUCCUCGUGAGUCAGACUCUUUUGAGGAGCGUGAAAGGAAACGGCUCCGGGACUUAUUUGCAGAACCAACAGAUGAGGACUCUUUUGAGGGUUUUACCGAGGGAAUGGAGGAAGAAAUGGUCAGCUCGGAGGAGGAUGACAUGGAGUGGACUCGUGUGAGGGAGGAUUUGGGUGUCCCCGGUAAUGAAAGCAUGGGAGGCGAUUGGCGGGUUGCAGGAUCAGACCCAUGGACGGGCUGGAGGGAUGGAGCGGGAUCCACAGCUAGGGAUGCUGUGGGGCGUAGUCAAAGGUGUUUUAGCUCUGAUGAGGAUGAUGAUGAUGAGGCACCUGGGAUUAGGAUGGCAGCUGACAGCGAUGAUGAGUUUGAACUGGGAUAAAAUGGGGUUUAGGAUCAAUGUCUAAUUGCGUUGGGCAAGGUAAUCUGGAUGAACGCUUGGGCUCUUGUUGGGGAACUUCCUGAAGACGGGUGUGAUUCGUUGCUGGAUACCUUGGACCUCCGUCGUCUUUUUGACGGACAUUAAUUACCUACUCUGGAUUGACGCUGGACUGACUGACUUCGACCCCGGAUUAUCCCUUCUGUGGCUAUCGGUGGGACUUGUGGAAUUCUAGACGUCUGCACUUGGCUUUCGACCUCGGACCGGAUUGAGACCCUGCUGACUGCCGUUACCCUGAUUGAUGUGCCUGGACCCGGAUUUCGCUCGUUGCACGGAGGAGUAAACAGCCUGAUUUACUCAUUUGUAGCUUUUGAGUAGCAGAGAGGAAUCUGCUGCCAGUUUAUUGUGUUCAUUCUGACCUCUGUUAAUCCUCUUUUGUUUGCUAAUCUUGCCAGGCUGAAGUAAGCACUUUUGAUUUAAUCCGGAUUAAACUCCUGUUUAAUCCGGUUUAUUCUUUUGAACCGUUUUAGUUCAAACGGAGCUGUUUUUGUUACUUUUCACACUGAAGUCAAGUGUUUGCCUAAUCCUUUGUUUCCUACGGGCAUUUUCAGUUUUGUAACCUCAAUAAACUGAGUUUUACUCUA